RNAcentral lists this unclassified non-coding RNA (347 nucleotides) under soil metagenome. RNAcentral's name for it is "partial contains 5.8S ribosomal RNA, internal transcribed spacer 2, and large subunit ribosomal RNA". The stretch from base 1 to 120 matches the Rfam family "5.8S ribosomal RNA", at positions 35 to 154 of the family's 154-position model. The record is from RNAcentral.
GAUGAAGAACGCAGUGAAAUGCGAUAAUUAAUGUGAAUUGCAGAAUUCAGUGAAUCAUCGAGUCUUUGAACGCACAUUGCGCCCCCUGGUAUUCCGGGGGGCACGCCUGUCCGAGCGUCAUUGCUGCCCUCAAGCACGGCUUGUGUGUUGGGCUUCCGUCCCUGGCAACGGGGACGGGCCCAAAAGGCAGUGGCGGCACCAUGUCUGGUCCUCGAGCGUAUGGGGCUUUGUCACCCGCUCCCGUAGGUCCAGCUGGCAGCUAGCCUCGCAACCAAUCUUUUUAACCAGGUUGACCUCGGAUCAGGUAGGGAUACCCGCUGAACUUAAGCAUAUCAAUAAGCGGAGGA